This is a long non-coding RNA of Salvia miltiorrhiza (redroot sage), 1005 nucleotides long. RefSeq lists it as uncharacterized. The record is from RefSeq and is a predicted model, not a curated record. Lineage: Eukaryota; Viridiplantae; Streptophyta; Magnoliopsida; Lamiales; Lamiaceae. The transcript is spliced from 2 exons.
UUUUUUUCAAUUGUGUCCCAUAAAUAGUUAAUGUGGAACGCUAAAAAUUUAUUACGUGAAAUUAUUAAUCCACUUCGAAUUGUCAGCAUUAUUAAACUUUAAAAAAAAACCUAUGUGGCACUAAAACAUAAUACCGCAUUGAGGGUUUGAAGAAAAAAAUACCUAAAUCAUAGCAAAAAAAAUCGGCACUCUUCGGUGAUUGUCCUCCGGUAGAAAGAACAAAUUGAAGAAGUUAGUAGGGAAUUCAAACAAAAAUCCCAAAUCAUUUUAGUUGAUCACCAGAUCCCUCAAAUCCCCCAACCCUUCCUCCUUCCCGCCAACGAAGACAAGAAAAAGCAGUGCGGCCACAACUCGCCAGCGCUCUUCGACUGUGACUGCUUCCACUGGGAUUCCUCCCCCAACCACGAGCUCAUCCACCAAGCCAUCGAACUAUCGAAGCCUUUGAGGACCACUUGAACUCUGGCGGCACCCUCAAGAACUCCGUCAAUCUGAAAUUGAAUAACUCUCUUCUAGAUAUUGCAGCUGCAAUAUUCGCGAAGCGUACUCACUUCGUCUCUGCCCGUCAAUAAUUCUACGAGCAAGGGCACCUACGUUGCUCGCCUCUCCAAGCUCGUCGUUGUGCCCUACAUCGCCACCGGCGAUCUCGUCCGCCACGAGCUCUCUUCUUCUGCCCCCCUCUCCUCUCAGCAUCUGUCAGUGGAGUAGGCUGGUCUUGCAACGAGAUGAACGGCGCUCUUCUUCUUCUUCUCCAUUCUUUGUUGCCAACGAGAUGAACGGGUCCCUUUUUCUUCUUCUUCAGUUUUUGCAUCAACAAUUCAUUUGAUUUUCAAUUCUGAAACUAGGGUUUUGAGAUUGGAGAAAUGUCUUGACAAGAACGAUGACCAUGGCUUAAAAACACGCUGAAUUGCUGAAUUACAUGUCUUCCUUUUUUCUUUUCUUUUUUUUAUAAUUCCAGUUAAUAAAUUUCCGGCGUUCAACGUCAACUCUCAGGCAUCGAAAUUUUUU